UACGUAGGGCGCAAGCGUUAUCCGGAAUUAUUGGGCGUAAAGAGCUCGUAGGCGGUUUGUCGCGUCGGCUGUGAAAUCCCGAGGCUCAACCUCGGGUCUGCAGUCGAUACGAGCAAACUAGAGUGUUGCAGGGGAGACUGGAAUUCCUGGUGUAGCGGUGAAAUGCGUAGAUAUUGGGAGGAACACCAGUGGCGAAGGCGGCUCACUGGACCGGUACUGACGCUGAUGCGCGAAAGCGUGGGGAGCAAACGGG
RNAcentral lists this ribosomal RNA (253 nucleotides) under uncultured bacterium. RNAcentral's name for it is "partial 16S ribosomal RNA". It matches the Rfam family "Bacterial small subunit ribosomal RNA", at positions 524 to 776 of the family's 1533-position model. The record is from RNAcentral.